CGGUUGNUCCUGCCGGNAGGUCACUGCUAUUGGGAUUCGACUAAGCCAUGCGAGUCGAGAGGGUUCGGCCCUCGGCAGACGGCUCAGUAACACGUGGAUAAUCUGNCCUUNAGGUGGAGGAUAAUCUCGGGAAACUGAGAAUAAUACUCCAUAGGUCUAGACUGCUGGAAUGCAUUUAGGCUAAAAGCUCCGGCGCCUAAGGAUGAGUCUGCGGACUAUCAGGCUGUAGUCAGGGUAAAGACCUGACUAACNUACGACGGAUACGGGUUGUGAGAGCAAUAACCCGGAGACGAUAUCUGAGACACGAUAUCGGGCCNUACGGGGCGCAGCAGGCGCGAAACCUUCACACUGUGCGAAAGCGCGAUGAGGGAAUCCCAAGUGCUUGCACGUAAGUGUAAGCUGUUUUUGUGUAUAAAAAGCAUAGAGAGUAAGAGCUGGGUAAGACGGGUGCCAGCCGCCGCGGUAAUACCUGCAGCUCAAGUAGUGACCACUAUUAUUGGGCCUAAAACGUUCGUAGCCGGUUUGGUAAAUGCCUGGGUAAAUCGAGCCGCUUAACGGUUCGACUUCCGGGUAGACUGCUAAACUUGAGACCGGGAGAGGCUAGAGGUACUCCUGGGGUAGAGGUGAAAUUCUGUAAUCCUGGGGGGACCACCAGUGGCGAAGGCGUCUAGCUAGAACGGGUCUGACGGUGAGGGACGAAGCCCUGGGGCGCAAACCGGAUUAGAUACCCGGGUAGUCCAGGGUGUAAACGCUGCUUGCUUGAUGUUAGUUGGGCUCUGAGCCCGAUUAGUGUCGGAGAGAAGUUGUUAAGCAAGCUGCCUGGGAAGUACGGUCGCAAGGCUGAAACUUAAAGGAAUUGGCGGGGGAGCAC
Molecule: ribosomal RNA, 871 nt
Filed under: uncultured archaeon
Lineage: Archaea
Description: bacterial SSU rRNA
Rfam family: Archaeal small subunit ribosomal RNA
Source: RNAcentral